UACAGAGGGCUCAAGCGUUGUUCGGAUUCAUUGGGCGUAAAGCGUGCGUAGGCGGCGCGGUAAGUCGGGUGUGAAAUCUCGGGGCUUAACUCCGAAACUGCAUUCGAUACUGGCGUGCUUGAGGACUGGAGAGGAGACUGGAAUUUACGGUGUAGCGGUGAAAUGCGUAGAUAUCGUAAGGAAGACCAGUGGCGAAGGCGGGUCUCUGGACAGUUCCUGACGCUGAGGCACGAAGGUCAGGGGAGCAAACGGG
This 253-nucleotide ribosomal RNA is filed under the name uncultured bacterium. RNAcentral's name for it is "partial 16S ribosomal RNA". It matches the Rfam family "Bacterial small subunit ribosomal RNA", at positions 524 to 776 of the family's 1533-position model. The record is from RNAcentral.